Molecule: ribosomal RNA, 559 nt
Filed under: Bacillus licheniformis
Lineage: Bacteria; Bacillati; Bacillota; Bacilli; Caryophanales; Bacillaceae
Description: bacterial SSU rRNA
Rfam family: Bacterial small subunit ribosomal RNA
Source: RNAcentral
UACUGCAGUCGAGCGGACAGAUGGGAGCUUGCUCCCUGAUGUUAGCGGCGGACGGGUGAGUAACACGUGGGUAACCUGCCUGUAAGACUGGGAUAACUCCGGGAAACCGGGGCUAAUACCGGAUGCUUGAUUGAACCGCAUGGUUCAAUUAUAAAAGGUGGCUUUUAGCUACCACUUACAGAUGGACCCGCGGCGCAUUACCUAGUUGGUGAGGUAACGGCUCACCAAGGCGACGAUGCGUAGCCAACCUGAAAGGGUGAUCGGCCACACUGGGACUGAAACACGGCCCAAACUCCUACGGGAGGCAGCAGUAGGGAAUCUUCCGCAAUGGACGAAAGUCUGACGGAGCAACGCCGCGUGAGUGAUGAAGGUUUUCGGAUCGUAAAACUCUGUUGUUAGGGAAAAACAAGUACCGUUCGAAUAGGGCGGUACCUUGACGGUACCUAACCAAAAAGCCACGGCUAACUACGUGCCAGCAGCCGCGGUAAUACGUAGGUGGCAAGCGUUGUCCGGAAUUAUUGGGCGUAAAGCGCGCGCAGGCGGUUUCUUAAGUCUGAUG